RNAcentral lists this long non-coding RNA (380 nucleotides) under Solanum tuberosum (potato). Its description in RNAcentral is "long non-coding RNA (STUB_LNC011095)". The record is from RNAcentral. Lineage: Eukaryota; Viridiplantae; Streptophyta; Magnoliopsida; Solanales; Solanaceae.
GGAGAUGGAGCCAAGUCUUGCAAUUGAUUUUACUAUCAAAGAUAUCCUUAAGUUCUGCAAUGCAUCUCUGUGUUCUUUGUUUGUAGUUAGACUCUGGUAUUUAAAUCUACUCCUUUCAAUUUGUUUGUAGUUAGACUCUGGAAUUUAAAUCAACACACAUGUAUCACUCAUUAUCUUGCACCAUGAAUGGAAGUGGUUCUCUCUUUGACACUCUUCAUCAAUUUUGAAAUAUGUAUCUUGAAGUGAAAGGGUGGAAAGCUUUGAAGACUUGGUAAAAUCAUGGUGAGAUUCAUUAACAAAUGAUGGCUGGGAUCACUAGCUCUUUCAUUACUGACGCUGCAGCCUGCCAGCCAGUUAUUAUACUUCUCAUCAUCCCUGAG